This 56-nucleotide transfer RNA is filed under the name Hexamermis agrotis. RNAcentral's name for it is "tRNA-Lys". Lineage: Eukaryota; Metazoa; Nematoda; Enoplea; Mermithida; Mermithidae. The record is from RNAcentral.
UAAAGGAAUAGUGUAUUAAGCAUUAUCGAACUUUUAAUUCGAAGGAAAUCCUUUUU